AGCGAACGCUGGCGGCAGGCUUAACACAUGCAAGUCGAGCGGGCAUAGCAAUAUGUCAGCGGCAGACGGGUGAGUAACGCGUGGGAACGUACCUUUUGGUUCGGAACAACUGAGGGAAACUUCAGCUAAUACCGGAUAAGCCCUUACGGGGAAAGAUUUAUCGCCGAAAGAUCGGCCCGCGUCUGAUUAGCUAGUUGGUGAGGUAAUGGCUCACCAAGGCGACGAUCAGUAGCUGGUCUGAGAGGAUGAUCAGCCACAUUGGGACUGAGACACGGCCCAAACUCCUACGGGAGGCAGCAGUGGGGAAUAAUGGACAAUGGGCGCAAGCCUGAUCCAGCCAUGCCGCGUGAGUGAUGAAGGCCCUAGGGUUGUAAAGCUCUUUUGUGCGGGAAGAUAAUGACGGUACCGCAAGAAUAAGCCCCGGCUAACUUCGUG
RNAcentral lists this ribosomal RNA (435 nucleotides) under uncultured bacterium. RNAcentral's name for it is "partial 16S ribosomal RNA". It matches the Rfam family "Bacterial small subunit ribosomal RNA", at positions 29 to 507 of the family's 1533-position model. The record is from RNAcentral.